RNAcentral lists this unclassified non-coding RNA (284 nucleotides) under plant metagenome. Its description in RNAcentral is "partial contains small subunit ribosomal RNA, internal transcribed spacer 1, and 5.8S ribosomal RNA". The stretch from base 1 to 53 matches the Rfam family "Eukaryotic small subunit ribosomal RNA", at positions 1778 to 1831 of the family's 1831-position model. The record is from RNAcentral.
GGAAGUAAAAGCGUAACAAGGUUUCCGUAGGUGAACCUGCGGAAGGAUCAUUAUUGUAUAACCGAGGUGCGAGGGCUGUCGCUGACCCGAAAGGUCGUGCACGCCCGAGUGCCCUCACACACAUCCAUCUCACCCCUAUGUGCACCACCGCGUGGGUCCCCCUUUGGCUUGUUCGGAGGGGGGCUUACGUUUUCACACAAACUUUGUAUGCAGUGUAGAAUGUAUCUUUUGUUUUUGCGAUCACGCAAUCAAUACAACUUUCAACAACGGAUCUCUUGGCUCUC